This 234-nucleotide ribosomal RNA is filed under the name uncultured Candidatus Saccharibacteria bacterium. RNAcentral's name for it is "partial 16S ribosomal RNA". It matches the Rfam family "Bacterial small subunit ribosomal RNA", at positions 584 to 818 of the family's 1533-position model. Lineage: Bacteria; Candidatus Saccharimonadota. The record is from RNAcentral.
UAAGCGGGAUGUGAAAUCCAAGGGCUCAACCCUUGAACUGCAUUUCGAACUGGCAGACUUGAGAAUGGGAGAGGAAGCUGGAAUUCCUAGUGUAGGAGUGAAAUCCGUAGAUAUUAGGAGGAACACCAAUGGCGAAGGCAGGCUUCUGGCCCAUCUCUGACGCUGAGGCACGAAAGCGUGGGAGCGAACGGGAUUAGAUACCCCGGUAGUCCACGCCGUAAACUAUGGAUGCUA